Schistosoma curassoni is the source of this 45-nucleotide non-coding RNA. Lineage: Eukaryota; Metazoa; Platyhelminthes; Trematoda; Strigeidida; Schistosomatidae. The record is from Rfam.
AUCCAUCUGACGAGUCUCAAAUAAGACGAAAUGCGCGUCCUGAAU